AGAGCGAACGCUGGCGGCAGGCCUAACACAUGCAAGUCGAGCGCCCGUAGCAAUACGGGAGCGGCAGACGGGAUAGUAACACGUGGGAACGCGCCCUUCGGUUCGGAAUAACUCAGGGAAACUUGAGCUAAUACCGGAUACGCCCUUACGGGGAAAGAUUUAUUGCCGAAGGAACGGCCCGCGUCCGAUUAGCUAGUUGGUGAGGUAAUGGCUCACCAAGGCGACGAUCGGUAGCUGGUCUGAGAGGAUGACCAGCAUCACUGGGACUGAGACACGGCCCAGACUCCUACGGGAGGCAGCAGUGGGGAAUAUUGGACAAUGGGCGCAAGCCUGAUCCAGCCAUGCCGCGUGGAUGAUGAAGGCCUUAGGGUUGUAAAGUCCGUUUUAACGGGGAAGAUAAUGACGGUACCCGUAGAAUAAGCCCCGGCUAACUUCGCGCCAGCAGCCGC
RNAcentral lists this ribosomal RNA (449 nucleotides) under uncultured bacterium. RNAcentral describes it as "SSU rRNA". It matches the Rfam family "Bacterial small subunit ribosomal RNA", at positions 26 to 518 of the family's 1533-position model. The record is from RNAcentral.